Long non-coding RNA from Oncorhynchus tshawytscha (Chinook salmon), 3097 nucleotides. The record is from Ensembl. NCBI's taxonomy places the organism in Eukaryota, Metazoa, Chordata, Actinopteri, Salmoniformes, Salmonidae.
CUAUAAAUACAGUCGUGGCCAAAAGUUUUGAGAAUGACACAAAUAUACAUUUUCACAAAGUUUGCUACUUCAGUGUCUUUAGAUAUUUUUGUCAGAUGUUGCUAUGGAAUACUGUAACAUAAUUACAAGCAUUUCAUAACUUUCAAAGCCUUUUAUUGACAAUUACAUGAAGUUGAUGAAAAUAGUUAAUUUGCAGUGUUGACCCUUCUUUUUCAAGACCUCUGCAAUCUGCCUUGGCAUGCUAUUAAUUAACUUCCUAGCCACAUCCUGACCUAUGGCAGCCCAUUCUUGCAUAAUCAAUGCUUGGAGUUUAUCAGAAUUUGUGGGUUUUUGUUUGUCCACCCGCCUCUUGAGGAUUGACCUCAAGUUCUCAAUGGGAUUAAGGUCUGGGGUGUUUCCUGGCCAUGACCCAAAAUAUCGAUGUUUUGUUCCCCGGGCCACUUAGUUAUCACUUUUGCCUUAUGGCAAGGUGCUCCAUCAUGCCGGAAAAGGCAUUGUUCCUCACCAAACUGUUCCUGGAUGGUUGGGAGAAGUUGCUCUCCUGAGCAAGCUCUGUACUGAUGGUGUCCUGAUACCGCAGCUGAAUCAAUUUUAGGAGACGGUCCUGGCGCUUGCUGGACUUUCUUGGGUGCCCUGAAUCCUUCUACACAACAAUUGAACCGCUCUCCUUCAAGUUCUUGAUUAUCCGAUAAAUGGUUGAUUUAGGUGCAAUCUUACUGGCAGCAAUAUCCUUGCCUGCAAAGCCCUUUUUGUGCAAAGCAAUGAUGACGGCACAUGUUUCCUUGCAGGUAACCAUGAUUGACAGAGGAAGAACAAUGAUUCCAAGCACCACCCUCGUUUUGAAGCUUCCAGUCUGUUAUUCGAACUCAAUCAGCAUGACAGAGUGAUCUCCAGCCUUGUCCUCGUCAACACUCACACCAGUCUUAACGAGAGAAUCACUGACAUGAUAUCAGCUGGUCCUUUUGUGGCAGGGCUGACUCAGUGGAAAAGUUUUUUGGGGAUCCAGUUCAUUUGCAUGGCAAAGAGGGACUUUGCAAUUAAUUGCAAUUCAUCUGAUCACUCUUCAUAACAUUCUGGAGUAUAUGUAUAUGCAAAUUGCCAUCAUACAUCAUACAGCAGUCUUUGUGAAAAUUAAUAUUUGUAUCAUUCAGAAAACUUUUGACCACAACUGUACACUACCGGUCAAAAGUUUGGACACACCUACUCAUUUAAGAUUUUUCUAUAUUUUUUACUAUUUUCUACAUUGUAGAAUAAUAGUGAAGACAUCAAAACCAUGAAAUAACACUUAUGGAAUCAUGUAGUAACCAAAAAAGUGUUAAACGAAUCAAAAUAUAUUUUAUAUUUGAGAUUCUUCAAAUAGCCACCCUUUGCCUUGACGACAGCUUUGCACACUCUUGGCAUUCUCUCAACCAGCCAUAUGAGGUAAUCACCUGGAAUGUAUUUCAAUUAACAGGUGUGGAAUUUCUUUCCUUCUUAAUGCAUUUGAGCCAAUCAGUUGUGUUGUGACAAGGUAGGGGUGGUAUACAGAAGAUAGCCCUAUUUGGUAAAAUACCAAGUCUAUAAAUGGCAAGAACAGCUCAAAUAAGAAAAGAGAAAUGACAGUCCAACAUUUUUUUAAGACAUGGAGGUCAGUCAACUUGAAACAUUUCAAGGACUUUGAAAGUUUCUUCAAGUGCUGUCCCAGAAACCAUCAAGAGCUAUGAUGAAACUGUUGUAAUGUGCAACAUCUGGUAAGGUCUCUCUGUGCUGUAGGACCUGGUGAAAGUCCAUAAGAGUCUCAUGGUGGAGGUGCAAGACUCCACUCUCAACAAGAACACCUUAAACCUCUACAAGAUCUACAUCACCUAUAAGGACAGAGAAUCAGCCGGUUCUGGCUCCGUGGCAUCAGUCAGACUGAGUCUCCUGCGGUGGACAAUUGGUUCCGGAGGAAACCUGGGAGGCCGCCCACGUCCACCUUCAGCCCGCCAGACCGUCACCGCAGUGAGGCCCCGGUGUUUGCACCAGGGGACAGGCUCUGGCUCUCCACCCGAAACCUGCACCUCCGCCUGCCCUGCCGGAAGCUGGGUCCGCGGUUUGUGGGGCCGUUUAAAGUCCUGAGGAGAGUGAACGAGGUAUGUUAUAGGUUACAGCUACCCACUAAAUACCGUAUUAAUCCCUCGUUCCAUGUGUCUCUCCUCAGGCCGGUGGUGGCUGGUCCGCUCCAGCAGUCUGAGGUGCGGGAGGUUCCUCCAACCCCUCUGGACAUUGAGGGGGACCCGACGUACUCCGUUCGAUCCAUUUUGGAUUCAAGCGAGGGGCCUUCAAGCGAGGGGAUUUGGUGAGGGGAUUCAAGCGAGGGGAUUCGGGAGAGGGGCCUUCAGCACCUCGUGGACUGGGAGGGGUACGGUCCGGAGGAGAGAUGCUGGGUUCCGGUGGAGGACGUAUUAGAUCCUUCCAUGCUGCGAGAAUUCCACCGUCUCCAUCCGGAUCGCCCUGCGCCUCGCCCUCCGGGUCGUCCUCAAGGCCAGUGUUGACCCGCUGCUGGAGCCGCGCGUCAGGGGGGUUACUGUCACGACUUCUACCGAAGUCGAUGCCUCUCCUUGUUCGGGUGGUGCUCAAUGGUCGACGUCACCCGUCUUCUAGCCCUCAUUGAUCCAUUUUCCAUUUUCCAUUGGUUUUGUCUUGUCUUCCUACACACCUGGUUUCAAUCCCAGUCAUUACCUGUUGUGUAUUUAACCCUAUUCUGUUUCCCAUCACGUCUUUGUCAGCGAUUUGUUUCUUGUUUAAGUUUUGCGUUUGUAUUUGGUGCGCGACCCAAUUUGCUUAAUUUGUAUUUUAUGGUUUUGGAGUUAUGUUUUAUGAAAUUACUCCAUUUACCGAGUUUAUUCUCCUGCGCCUGACUUCCCUGCCACCUAUACACACGUUUGUGACAAUCAGUAAGGAACUUCCUUCACCUGAUUGUCUAGGUCUUAAGGAAUAAAAACAUAAACCAGCAGACACUAGGCCCUCCACGGAAUGAGUUUGACACCCCUGCUCUAAACAAUAAAUGCAUUUGACUUUGUGAAAAUACAUUUUUAUUUUCCUAACUUGCUUACCACUUUUUCCAUUUGGUUUCUUC